CGUGAUCCGCCCUUCGGGGUGGUGAAAGUGGCGCACGGGUGAGUAACGCGUGGAUAAUCUGCCCGAGGAUUUGGGAUAACAUCUCGAAAGGGGUGCUAAUACCGAAUAAGCCCACGGGGUCUACGGAUCUUGCGGGAAAAGGGGGGGACCUUCGGGCCUCCUGUCCUUGGAUGAGUCUGCGUACCAUUAGCUAGUUGGUGGGGUAAUGGCCUACCAAGGCGACGAUGGUUAGCUGGUCUGAGAGGAUGAUCAGCCACACUGGAACUGAGACACGGUCCAGACUCCUACGGGAGGCAGCAGUGGGGAAUUUUGCGCAAUGGGGGAAACCCUGACGCAGCAACGCCGCGUGGGUGAUGAAGGCCUUCGGGUCGUAAAGCUCUGUCUGGAGGGAAGAAAUGAUUGGGAGCUAAUACCUCUUGAUCUUGACGGUACCUCUGAAGGAAGCACCGGCUAACUCCGUGCCAGCAGCCGCGGUAAUACGGAGGGUGCAAGCGUUGUUCGGAAUUAUUG
This 510-nucleotide ribosomal RNA is filed under the name uncultured Geobacter sp. RNAcentral's name for it is "bacterial SSU rRNA". It matches the Rfam family "Bacterial small subunit ribosomal RNA", at positions 67 to 556 of the family's 1533-position model. Lineage: Bacteria; Pseudomonadati; Thermodesulfobacteriota; Desulfuromonadia; Geobacterales; Geobacteraceae. The record is from RNAcentral.